GCGUUCUGUAAGCGGUUGAAGGUGUGUGGUAACGCAUGCUGGACGUAUCAGAAGUGCGAAUGCUGACAUGAGUAACGAUAAAGGGGGUGAAAAACCUCCUCGCCGGAAGACCAAGGGUUCCUGUCCAACGUUAAUCGGGGCAGGGUAAGUCGACCCCUAAGGCGAGGCCGAAAGGCGUAGUCGAUGGGAAACGGGUUAAUAUUCCCGUACUUCUUACAAUUGCGAUGGGGGGACGGAGAAGGCUAGGUGGGCCUGGCGACGGUUGUCCAGGUUCAAGUGCGUAGGCUGAGAAAUUAGGUAAAUCCGGUUUCUCUUAAGGCUGAGACACGACGUCGAGCAUCUACGGAUGUGAAGUCAUUGAUGCCAUGCUUCCAGGAAAAGCCUCUAAGCUUCAGAUUGUAAGGAAUCGUACCCCAAACCGACACAGGUGGUCGGGUAGAGAAUACCAAGGCGCUUGAGAGAACUCGGGUGAAGGAACUAGGCAAAAUGGUACCGUAACUUCGGGAGAAGGUACGCUCUCGACGGUGAAGUCCCUCGCGGAUGGAGCUAUUGAGAGUCGCAGAUACCAGGUGGCUGCAACUGUUUAUUAAAAACACAGCACUGUGCAAAAUCGCAAGAUGACGUAUACGGUGUGACGCCUGCCCGGUGCCGGAAGGUUAAUUGAUGGGGUUAGACUUCGGUCGAAGCUCUUGAUCGAAGCCCCGGUAAACGGCGGCCGUAACUAUAACGGUCCUAAGGUAGCGAAAUUCCUUGUCGGGUAAGUUCCGACCUGCACGAAUGGCGUAAUGAUGGCCACGCUGUCUCCACCCGAGACUCAGUGAAAUUGAAAUCGCUGUGAAGAUGCAGUGUACCCGCGGCUAGACGGAAAGACCCCGUGAACCUUUACUACAGCUUGGCACUGAACAUUGACCCUACAUGUGUAGGAUAGGUGGGAGGCUUUGAAGCGCAGUCGCUAGAUUGCGUGGAGCCGUCCUUGAAAUACCACCCUUGUAGUGUUGAUGUUCUAACGUCGACCCCUUAUCGGGGUUGCGGACAGUGCCUGGUGGGUAGUUUGACUGGGGCGGUCUCCUCCCAAAGCGUAACGGAGGAGCACGAAGGUGGGCUAAUCACGGUUGGACAUCGUGAGGUUAGUGCAAUGGCAUAAGCCCGCUUGACUGCGAGAAUGACAAUUCGAGCAGGUGCGAAAGCAGGUCAUAGUGAUCCGGUGGUUCUGAAUGGAAGGGCCAUCGCUCAACGGAUAAAAGGUACUCCGGGGAUAACAGGCUGAUACCGCCCAAGAGUUCAUAUCGACGGCGGUGUUUGGCACCUCGAUGUCGGCUCAUCACAUCCUGGGGCUGAAGUCGGUCCCAAGGGUAUGGCUGUUCGCCAUUUAAAGUGGUACGCGAGCUGGGUUUAGAACGUCGUGAGACAGUUCGGUCCCUAUCUGCCGUGGGCGUUGGAGAAUUGAAAGGGGCUGCUCCUAGUACGAGAGGACCGGAGUGGACGAACCUCUGGUGUUCGGGUUGUGUCGCCAGACGCAUUGCCCGGUAGCUAAGUUCGGGAUCGAUAACCGCUGAAAGCAUCUAAGCGGGAAGCGAGCCUUGAGAUGAGUUCUCCCUGAUACUUUAAGUAUCCUAAAGGGUUGUCGUAGACUACGACGUUGAUAGGCAGGGUGUGUAAGCGUUGUGAGGCGUUGAGCUAACCUGUACUAAUUGCCCGUGAGGCUUAACCAU
Molecule: ribosomal RNA, 1712 nt
Filed under: Vibrio alginolyticus
Lineage: Bacteria; Pseudomonadati; Pseudomonadota; Gammaproteobacteria; Vibrionales; Vibrionaceae
Description: partial 23S ribosomal RNA
Rfam family: Bacterial large subunit ribosomal RNA
Source: RNAcentral